RNAcentral lists this long non-coding RNA (7097 nucleotides) under Hordeum vulgare. Its description in RNAcentral is "long non-coding RNA (HVUL_LNC017418)". The record is from RNAcentral. Lineage: Eukaryota; Viridiplantae; Streptophyta; Magnoliopsida; Poales; Poaceae.
CCUUAGACCCUUAGUGCUCAUACCAGUAGUGCCUGCAAAAUAUAACAUGUAUGAUCCUUCAUGCAUGUCCUUGUUGCAAUACGGUCAACUGCCCAUGCUUGUUACUAUUACUUCACAAGUCAUGAGCUGCACAAUUCUGCAACCUCACACUUACUGUGUGAUUUACUUAACAAAGGUGUUGGGCGUCGCUAACCCUGGCCUGUUAUAUAUCUCUAGCCCAUUUGCUAUAUAUGCGUGUUAUGUUCACUCGCCUUCCUAUUCUUGUAAUACCACGCGGUGUUAACAAGAUUAAAUGCUUCAGUUUCGAUGUGCCUCCUUGAAGAGCUGAGACUUUAGAAGAAACCGAAAGAAGAUGUGCACCAUCGGCCUGAUCUCCAUCACAGAGGUGCAAACUUCACGAAACUGUGACCGUAAAACACACUGCUAGCAACCAGAGUGUUGAAUAAACCCGAGUCUGCAGUGUUAGCUAGUGUCUGUUUUUCUUCAGUUUCGUUAGUUUGGUUAGUUAGUUCAGGUGUUUCAAUCAGCGAGAAUAGCUCGAGGUUAGUUAACAUCAAGAGCGAGUCUGGUGCCCCUCUGAUCGCUCGUGGGAUGGCACGAGCACCACGAUCGGUGGUGGCGCAUAGUUAGGGGCCAUGAGCCCGUUUCCUUUGCUGUACUCUGCAUAAAUUCAGUGAAUCGAACAACAGAAAAGUCGUAAGUUUUGCGCGGUGCAACCUCUCUGUUCUCCUUCCUCCUUACCGUCGAAAGAGUGAGAGAGAGAAAACCAGAGAGAGAGGCAAGUUUUGCCGACAAUUGGCAUCACAGCCUAGUUCCUACCUUGGGAAUGGCACCAGAUGAGUCCGCUGGAAGUAAUAGUUGAAGCCAAGUAAUUUCAGUGCGUGGACUGGAGGAACACAAUUCAAUUCAAUUUUGUUACUGAUAUCAAAAUAUAGCCAAUUGUGGGCUAUAUUUUGUCAACUUUUCACAGGUUGGAGAUAUGCUAUUACAAAAACUGAACUUGGACAUAUGCCACUCUAACUUUCUUAUACCUCUAUGCAUGCCAUUUUGUCAACUUAAAAGAAUAACAGUUCAAAUAAUACAUCUAUUUCGGCGUGUACUCAAGUAUUUACCAUACUACUCCUCUUUCCAACUUUCAGCAGCACGUCUGGGUCUUCCAUGCACCAAAAAGUGUGAUUUUUUAAUUUUAACAGAAAAUGCAUACUUGUCAGAAAAAAUUAUGAUGCCUUAAAUACACGAUAUUUGGGCAGCAUUUUGGCUCAAAUUAACACAGAUUAACAAGCAGAAUUCAUAUAGAUUCAUAAACAAGAUCACAAUCAUGAUUUAACUUAGUAAAUAGGUUUACAUAAGCAAGUUCAUAAGGAGGUUCACAAGCAUAACUUAGUAAAUAGGUUCACAAGCUGCUAGCCACCAAGCCAAUAAAGAAGGCUUCGUUUUGCACCAUUCGUAGGCUGCCCUUCUCGAGAUGGAGGCGGAGGUGGAGGUAUAACAGGUGCAAAUGGAACAUUUUUCUUCACUUUCUUCCCUUUAGUUGUCUUCUUGGAUUUCUCUUGUGAUGAAGCUUUCUUCACAUGACUCUUUUUCUUGGUCAUCUCUUGUACUGCAACUAUCUUCACAGGUGUCUUCUUGGCUGAUGUAUUGGUCUUUUCUGGUUCCUUCCGCUUCUGUGGAGUUGUUCUGGCCCUUUUCCUGCAUUGACAACAUUUGUUUUAGACUGAGUAAUCAUAGAUUAAGGCAAGUGCAGUAAUUUACCUUAUAAGAUUGAUAAGGACUUCAUCAUCUCCUGCAUCACCAUCUGUUGUAGUCGUUGUUCCAUCACACUUCUUCCUGCAGUACAAAGAAGAAAAAUCAUUUUUGUGAAGAUUAGUUAUGAAAAAAUAUUCAGAAAAUACUUAUGUUGUAGCAGUUUUUUGCAUCACCUUUUGUUUGUCGGUGUAGAUGAAUCCUCUAUAGGUAUAUCAUCAUCUACUGCCAUAUAUUCAGGAUUAGGAAUCUUGCAUGUCUUCUGCAUGUGCCCAGGUUCACCACACCUCUUACACUUGACUAUUUUCCUUCCGGGCUCUAGCCAUCCUCUAAUCCUCUGAACUCGUGGCCUACCAGCCACUGUUUGCUGCAAAGGAGGGUGCACCUUGAAACCCAAAUCCACUUGUAUCCAUUGUGACUUAUCUGUCAUGGAAGGGAUGUUCCCAGCAUAUGCUGCCUUGAACUUUUCUACAGAAUAGUAAUCAUCCACAUAUGUUUGAAUCUCAGCACCGUUAAUGCUACAAAUGAAGGCCAAUGCGUGCAUGCAUGUCUUUCCUGAAACUUGCCAAACUCUACAAGUACAUGUUCUAUAUUUUAAGUUAACAAUGUGUCUUUUGACAAAUUUCAGAUCCAACAAGGUGACUUCUGCUCAUUUUCACUUGUCCAAAGAAUCUUGUUUCGACCAAUGGUUUUGCUGAGAGCAUUUAGUUGCUUAAUGACAUGAGGAAGAAUCCUACCCUUUAGCUGCUUACUUACUUGACCUCUAAUAUAGAACUUCUCUGUGAUGAUCUCCCUAAUUUUAUCAAAAAGGUUGAGGACAUUGAUCCCUUUGAAGUCUUUUAUUUGCUUGUUGAAACUCUCAGAUAUGUUGUUCGUCAGAUAAUCAACCUUACUGGCCUCGCCAAAACCACAUCUAUACCACAACCUAUUGUGAUGAAUCUCUAGAUAUUCAAUAGCUGUUGGAUUUGCUUCCCUAAUUUUCUUCAUAUGAUACAUAAACUUUCGAUGUGAGAAAGACCUUGCAGCUGGAUAAAGAUUUUCUGUGUACACUUUACCAUGGAAUUUCUUCAUAAAAUUUGCAUACAAGUGCCUGACGCACUCUCGGUUUUCACAGUUAGGGAACACAAGGUCAAUGGCAGUCUCUAAUCCUUUGCAAGCAUCACUAGAAAUAACAAGACCAGGUGGGGAACCUAUAGCUCUAUGUAGUUGUUUCAUGAACCAUUUCCAAUUUUCACCGGUUUCUGAAUCAAACACAGCAAAUGCUACAUAAUAUAGCCAAUUGUGCCCAUCUACAGAAGUUGCUGAUGCUAACUGACCCUUAAACUUGCCAUUAAGUGCUGUUGAGUCCACACCAACAUAGGGCCUACAACCAGCUAAGAAACCAUCGAUGCAAGGCUUGAAUGCAACAAACAUUCUGUUAAAAUGAUAUUUAUCUCCAUUUUUUAACAGCUCUAUCUCUAUAAUACUCCCCGGGCAUUUAUUUUCUAUCUCAGCUUUCCAGUUAAAAAGCAAUGGAAAACAAUCUUCAUAACUACCAUGAAUUUGAUAAAGUGCUACCUUCAUACCAUCCCAAGCCUUGUUAUAUUUCAGCUUGAUGUUGAACUCAUCUUCCAACUUUCCUUUGGCGUCUUUUGCACCAACACCAGGAUUUUUCUUCACCCAAUCCCCAAUCUUAUCUGCAAUCCAUCCUUGUGAAGCCAUUGUGCAAAUUGACAAUUUUGUAGUUGGACAAUUGUGCUCAAAUGGAAGUGUUUUUAUCUGCAAAAAACAUGAGGACUACAUAAAUCAGAUGCAACAAAAAAAAUCUACAUAAGAUAAAAAGUAGCUUUGUAAACAACCCAUACCAUCACGGUUCUACCGUCUUGCAGUGUGGAUGCAUGUAUGCGCCAUGGACAUGGCCCAUGUGCACACUCAGCCAUGAACCUAGUUUUGUCUGUUUUGAUUUUAGCCAACUUAAACCCAACUAAAAUAGCAUGUUGCCUUAUAGAUUUUCUGAAAGUCACAAUGUCAGGAAAGAGAGCCCCAACCCUUAUGUCUGGGUUCUCAGCGUCAUGCACCACAGUAUAGCCUGCAGGAUCAAUAUCAAUCACUUCUUCCUCCUCAUGAUGCACAAACACAUCAGCGCCAGUAUCCUCUUCCUCCCAAAUCUUAUUGCCCUGCUCAAUAGAUUCCACUGGGACUGGAGCAGAUGGCUCCACAACAUACAUGUACUCAUCAUCUACCCCUACGUACUCCUCAACCAUGUCAAAUGGAUCAGUUUCUAGAACUAGCGUAGAUGGGUCUACUUGUGCAGAUUGCUUUAAAGGAAAAUCUUGCAUACCCAUCAGCAGCACAUCAUUAUCAGCAAUAGUUGCCUCAGGCACAUGAACAACAUUGUCAAUGAUAGGUACAGGAGUUUCAGAAUCAGAGUUAUCAAGCACAACAACGGUCAAUGUAAGCUUCUUCUCUGCUUUGUACAUGUGAAACAUCACAUGAAGUUGAUCCUUAUGAGUUAGUCUAACAUCUUGCGCCAUUAUCAUGUCAAAAUACCACACAGUGACACUCUGAUUCCUGCCAACUCUCAGCUCUGCACCUAAGCCAUCCAUGAGCACAUCCAUUGUGAAAUAUUCAGAGUCUACGUUCCAUGUAAUUGUUUUUCCCUUCACAUAUGAUUUCCUACCGCUCUGUUCUUUCAAUAGAAACCCUUCAAGAACUAGGUCUAAGCUAAAAAUAUUCGUUGGCUCGUACCUACAAAUUUCAUGCAAAAGUAUCACGGGUAAAAGGCUAUUUGAAUUAACAUCCAUGAAAAUAUUCAGUUAACAGUGCAAGGGCUGGGGCAUGAGCUUCAGGCAUCAUGAACUCACUCGUACAACGUGGGGCUCUCGGACUCCAUGGAUCCAUCCAUGGAUCCAGCAAGCUGCCGUCGUACGCGUCUCAGGCCGCAGCGGCGCGAGCCAACAGCCGCGACGCUCGCCUCCCGCCUCCCGCUGCCUUGGGCCUCGCCGCGUCGAGCAAGCCGCCGUCGCCCGCGUCUCCAGCCGCAGCGGCGCGAGCCAAUAUCCGUGGCGCCCGCCUCCCGGUCCUGCCGCGCCGAGCAAGCCGUCGUCACCCGCGCCUCCAGCCGCCGCCGCCCCCGCGCUAGGGUUCGUGUGUGUGAGUUAGGGUUCGUGUGUGUGAGUUAGGGUUCGUGUGUGUGAGUCGGGUGGAGACGCGGUGUGGUGUGUGUGGUGUAUGUAUGUGUGUGAGUUGGCUUGGUGUUUCACAGGUACGUAUAUGUAUGCAUGCACGUAUAAGGGAUGUAUAUGGCUUGAUAUUGGAGAAAAUGGCAUGGAUAAAAAUACGAAAAAGUUGUAGUGGCAUAUGUCCAAGUUCAGUUUUUGUAAUGGCAUAUCUCCAACCUGUGAAAAUUGGAGUGGCAUAGAUCCAAUUAACCCAUUUUAUUAUGACAAAACGGAUUUCAGCGGUGGUAUGCUGGAUCUUACCUAAGUGGCCGCCGCCGGCGGAGAUUGCCCUUCGUUUCGGAGCGCUUCGACUCCCUCCUCGUUCUAUUCCUCUCCGGCGGCUCCCUCGAUCGGCCCCUUCUCUCGUCGCCGAUGCAGCGGGGGAUGACGAGGAAUUGGUGAGGUGGAGAUUGCUCCGUAGCAGAGGCCGUCAAGAUGCGGUCCUGAACUGGGCCCACUAAGACGAUUGGUUCGCAGGAUGGGCUUCCGCAGAUGGGUCGUGUAAGAUGGGUUGCCGCGCAUCAAGGUUUGAGACGACCAUAUAUAAGUUUCGCAAAAAGAAAAAGACGACCAUAUAUAAAUAGAAGUUGAAUUUUUUCAGAACUCGUGAAUUUUAAUAAAGGGCACUGCUACACGUCCUCCGAUAGUUAUUUAGUAAACGUCCACCAACAGAAUAGCCGUCGGAUCUCCGCGCGCAAAGUUGUCUACGGCUGUCCGAUCUCAUUACUCGCACAACGGCUCGGUCGCUUCGUGAAACAACAAGACAGUUGCAGAAACAACCAUCCGAUCUUCUUUCCGUGGGCGUGCCAAAUCGUUUUCCCUUUGAAACAAGACCUAUAUUUCGGAAACAAGAAUGAGGCUGCAUAAAUGGUAGUCGUAGGAUUGCGAGCUCGAUAACCGUCCGAUCUUCUUCACGUACGUGUACCAACCCAUUUUUUCUUUGAAACAAGACCUAUGUUUCUAAAACAAGAACGCCGCUGCAGAAAAAAUAUAAUCCUAAAUCAUGCGAUAGAGUGGCGUCUUUCAUCACUGCAACAAAGUUGUUGUUGCAGAAAAUAUUUUACGACAUAGGUCUUGUUGCAGAAAUCUUUACAGCACAUGUCUUGUUGCAGAAAUCCGUCUUGAAAUCCUCAUCGUCGUUGCCCUUCCAACCGCACGAGUGUCCACCGCUGCAAACUGUCUUUUUCUGAAUCAAAUGCUCAGUUGCAGAAAAACAUGGACACAAAAAAGUUUUCUUACGACCGUACAAUCAAAAGCAAAUCCAACAUAUGCAUCCGCAAAACAUUAAUUAAGUUCCUUGCAAAUCCAAACGAUAACAAUUGUUGUUGCAUUAGACCCUUAGUGCUCAUACCAGUAGCGCCCUGCAAAGUAUAACAUGUAUGAUCCUUCAUGCCCUUGUUGCAAUACGGUCAAGUGCUCAUGCUUGUUACUGUUACUUCACAAGUCAUGAGUUGUACAAUUCUGAAACAUCACACUUACCGUGUGAUUUAUUUAACAAAGGGUUUGGGCGUCGCUAACUCUGGCCUGUUAUAUAUCUCUAGUCCAUUUGCUAUAUAUGCUUGUUCUGUUCACUCGCCUUCCCAUUGUUGUAAUGCCACGAGGUGUUGAACAAGAUUAAAUGCUUCAGUUUUGAUGUGCCUCCUUGAAGAGCUGAGACUUUAGAAGAAACCGAAAGAAGAUGUAGACCAUUUUCUUGAUAUCCUCUGGAGUGGUGCGCACUUCACAGAACUUUGACCUUAAAACACACUGCUAGCUACCAGAGUAACAAUAGAUCAAUUCGGGCACAGUGUAUCCAAAUUCACCGUACCAAGCUUUUGGCAUGUGAAAUCCGAUGAUUAGGUACAAAUAUGCAGCACAAUGUAUCAUAUUUUUUAUAAUAACCGUGAAAGACGCGAGGAGGAUUGGCGUGAGCUGGAUAAAUGCACUUAUAGCAGAAUUCUCUCAUUUUUCUCUUAAUUCCCAAGAUUGUCACUCGCGAAGAAAGUUCCAGUAAUGAUCGUCCCAAAUAAGGGCUUCAGAUUGCUUCAUAAAACAUUUGUCUAUACAACUGAAAAAGAGGCGCGUCGAGGACGACGACGCUCAGUGCCCCUGCAGCGAUGGGGCACAGGUGGGCGGCGGCCUGGAGUACCUCGCGGUGGAGGGGCGUUCAUGUAC